GAGGGUGUAGCUCAAGUGGUAGAGUGCGUGUAUAGCGUGCAUGAGGUCCUGGGUUCAAUCCCCAGUAUUUCCU
Molecule: transfer RNA, 73 nt
Filed under: Camelus ferus (Wild Bactrian camel)
Lineage: Eukaryota; Metazoa; Chordata; Mammalia; Artiodactyla; Camelidae
Rfam family: tRNA
About the family: Transfer RNA (tRNA) molecules are approximately 80 nucleotides in length. Their secondary structure includes four short double-helical elements and three loops (D, anti-codon, and T loops).
Source: Rfam by way of RNAcentral